This 413-nucleotide ribosomal RNA is filed under the name uncultured bacterium. Its description in RNAcentral is "bacterial SSU rRNA". It matches the Rfam family "Bacterial small subunit ribosomal RNA", at positions 28 to 429 of the family's 1533-position model. The record is from RNAcentral.
GAUGAACGCUGGCGGCGUGCCUAAUACAUGCAAGUCGAGCGAACAGAUGAGAAGCUUGCUUCUCUGAUGUUAGCGGCGGACGGGUGAGUAACACGUGGGUAACCUACCUAUAAGACUGGGAUAACUCCGGGAAACCGGGGCUAAUACCGGAUAAUAUUUUGAACCGCAUGGUUCGAUAGUGAAAGACGGUUUCGGCUGUCACUUAUAGAUGGACCCGCGCCGUAUUAGCUAGUUGGUAAGGUAACGGCUUACCAAGGCGACGAUACGUAGCCGACCUGAGAGGGUGAUCGGCCACACUGGAACUGAGACACGGUCCAGACUCCUACGGGAGGCAGCAGUAGGGAAUCUUCCGCAAUGGGCGAAAGCCUGACGGAGCAACGCCGCGUGAGUGAUGAAGGUCUUCGGAUCGUAAA